GACGAACGCUGGCGGCGUGCUUAACACAUGCAAGUCGAACGGAAAGGCCCUGCUUUUGUGGGGUGCUCGAGUGGCGAACGGGUGAGUAACACGUGAGUAACCUGCCCUUGACUUUGGGAUAAAUUCAGGAAACUGGGGCUAAUACCGGAUAGGAGCUCCUGCUGCAUGGUGGGGGUUGGAAAGUUUCGGCGGUUGGGGAUGGACUCGCGGCUUAUCAGCUUGUUGGUGGGGUAGUGGCUUACCAAGGCUUUGACGGGUAGCCGGCCUGAGAGGGUGACCGGCCACAUUGGGACUGAGAUACGGCCCAGACUCCUACGGGAGGCAGCAGUGGGGAAUAUUGCACAAUGGGCGGAAGCCUGAUGCAGCAACGCCGCGUGCGUGAUGACGGCCUUCGGGUUGUAAACCGCUUUCGCCUGUGGCGAAGCGUGAGUGACGGUAAUGGGUAAAGAAGCACCGGCUAACUACGUG
RNAcentral lists this ribosomal RNA (468 nucleotides) under uncultured bacterium. Its description in RNAcentral is "partial 16S ribosomal RNA". It matches the Rfam family "Bacterial small subunit ribosomal RNA", at positions 28 to 507 of the family's 1533-position model. The record is from RNAcentral.